CGUGGUCACGGGAGUUCACUGCCUAUCCCGGGGUUUCACGCACUUUAUCCAAAAUUGUGAGAAAACAGGGAAGAAAACGGAAAUUCCAAGAACAUACGAUUCUAGAUAAUUAAUUUUUCUAUCGAUUCGUAUAUAAAUUGUGCCUGAUAAACGUUUUUAUCGAAAGAUUUCGUGCGAGUUGUAAAAAUAAAUGAGUUUUUCCUUCUUCUUUCGCACGCACACAAUGUCAACGCAUGCAUUGGGGUGUUGUCAUUUUGCGGUAGACGCUAACAACGUUUCUUUUGUUUUCGUUUUCCGUUCUCUCUGCGUAAACGUUGAAUAUAGAUGAGUAGAAAAUCCAAUUUGUAAGUUCAACUCGAUUCUAUCGAACUGCCAUGAUGUGGUUAUUGUUAUGUGUGCUAUGGUUGAAUUUUCAUGGAACUGAAAAUAUUGCUCUAACCAAGAGGUUUAUUAUGAGACCGGCAGAUAUUUUCCCUAACCACGAAUGUUUGAAUCACGAUAUAAUGUUUUUUUAGCGUGAAUAAGCUUGUAGUACUAGCCAUUGUAUGACUGUAGGGGAAAGCAAGAUUUUUCUGCUAUGCAAGUUUGGGAGUUGUCGUUUGCUGAAAAAUAACUAAACUGAAAAUAUCAAUAGGCAGCUUUUCGAUGUAGGGUUCUGCUACGACUAAAUAAGCAUUUCAUCCGCCAUUUCUUCGACAUACUAAUUUUCUCAAAACAGUCACUUUACGGACAUUUCGAAGGGCAAAGCGAACAUUGUAAAGACAUAAGGUCUCUUGUUGUGUGUCAUACCAUUGAUUUGUUGUGAGACAUAUUAUACGGCUGCUGGAGUAUUAUGUCUA
Malaya genurostris is the source of this 839-nucleotide long non-coding RNA. RefSeq lists it as uncharacterized. The transcript has 3 exons. Lineage: Eukaryota; Metazoa; Arthropoda; Insecta; Diptera; Culicidae. The record is from RefSeq and is a predicted model, not a curated record.